CAGCUUGUUGGUGGGGUAACGGCCUACCAAGGCUUCGACGGGUAGCUGGUCUGAGAGGAUGAUCAGCCACACUGGGACUGAGACACGGCCCAGACUCCUACGGGAGGCAGCAGUGGGGAAUCUUGCGCAAUGGGCGAAAGCCUGACGCAGCAACGCCGCGUGCGGGAUGACGGCCCUCGGGUUGUAAACCGCUUUCAGCAGGAACGAAUCUGACGGUACCUGCAGAAGAAGGUCCGGCCAACUACGUGCCAGCAGCCGCGGUAACACGUAGGGACCAAGCGUUGUCCGGAUUUAUUGGGCGUAAAGAGCUCGUAGGCGGUUCGGUAAGUCGGGUGUGAAAACUCUGGGCUCAACUCAGAGAGGCCACCCGAUACUGCCGUGACUUGAGUCCGGUAGGGGAGCACGGAAUUCCUGGUGUAGCGGUGAAAUGCGCAGAUAUCAGGAGGAACACCGGUGGCGAAGGCGGUGCUCUGGGCCGGUACUGACGCUGAGGAGCGAAAGCGUGGGUAGCAAACAGGAUUAGAUACCCUGGUAGUCCACGCCGUAAACGUUGGGCACUAGGUGUGGGACCCCGCCAACGGGUUCUGUGCCGCAGCUAACGCAUUAAGUGCCCCGCCUGGGGAGUACGG
RNAcentral lists this ribosomal RNA (629 nucleotides) under uncultured bacterium. Its description in RNAcentral is "bacterial SSU rRNA". It matches the Rfam family "Bacterial small subunit ribosomal RNA", at positions 242 to 885 of the family's 1533-position model. The record is from RNAcentral.